Molecule: long non-coding RNA, 227 nt
Filed under: Lathyrus oleraceus (garden pea)
Lineage: Eukaryota; Viridiplantae; Streptophyta; Magnoliopsida; Fabales; Fabaceae
Description: Pisum sativum (pea) long non-coding RNA (PSAT_LNC041652)
Source: RNAcentral
UUUUCUUUUUUUUUUUUUUUUUUGUUUUUUUUUUUUUUUUUUUUUUUUUUUUUUUUUUUUUUUUUUUUUUUUUUUUUCUUUUUAUUUUGUUUUUUUUUUUUUUUUUUUUUUUUUUUUUUUUUUUUUUUUUUUUUUUUUUUUUUUUUCUUUUUUUUUUGGGUUUUUUGUUGUGGUUUUUCUUUAUUUUUUUUUUUUCUUUUUUUUUUUUUUUUUUUUUUUUUUUUUUU